GGCUACUGCUAUUGGGAUUCGACUAAGCCAUGCGAGUCUAUGGACUUCGGUCCAUGGCGGACGGCUCAGUAACACGUGGCUAACCUACCCUCAGGUGGGGCAUAACCUCGGGAAACUGAGGAUAAUACCCCAUAGGAAAAGAGGUUUGGAAUAAUCCUUUUCUGAAAGGAUAUCCGCCUGAGGAUGGGGCUGCGUCCGAUUAGGUAGUUGGUGGGGUAACGGCCCACCAAGCCUACGAUCGGUACGGGCCUUGAGAGAGGGAGCCCGGAGAUGGGGACUGAGACACGGCCCCAGGCCCUACGGGGCGCAGCAGGCGCGAAACCUCCACAAUGCACGAAAGUGCGAUGGGGGGACCCCAAGUGCCUAUGCACAGCAUAGGCUUUUCCCAAGUGUAAACAGCUUGGGGAAUAAGGGCUGGGCAAGUCCGGUGCCAGCAGCCGCGGUAACACCGGCGGCCCGAGUGGUGGCCACUCUUAUUGGGCCUAAAGCGUCCGUAGCCGGUCCAGUAAGUCCCUGUUUAAAUCCUACGGCUUAACCGUAGGGCUGGCAGGGAUACUGCUGGACUUGGGACCGGGAGAGGACGAGGGUACUCCAGGGGUAGCGGUGAAAUGCGUUGAUCCCUGGAGGACCACCUAUGGCGAAGGCACUCGUCUGGAACGGGUCCGACGGUGAGGGACGAAAGCCAGGGGCGCGAACCGGAUUAGAUACCCGGGUAGUCCUGGCCGUAAACUCUGCGGACUAGGUGUCGUCUGGGCCUCGGGCCCAGGCGGUGCCGAAGGGAAGCCAUUAAGUUCGCCGCCUGGGGAGUACGGUCGCAAGACUGAAACUUAAAGGAAUUGGCGGGGGAGCACCACAACNGGGUGGAGCCUGCGGUUU
RNAcentral lists this ribosomal RNA (876 nucleotides) under uncultured archaeon. RNAcentral describes it as "bacterial SSU rRNA". It matches the Rfam family "Archaeal small subunit ribosomal RNA", at positions 22 to 903 of the family's 1478-position model. The record is from RNAcentral.